ACCAAGCAGUUCAGCUACCUGCAGACCGCAUUGUUGCCCUCUUCUUGCAGUUCCUGGGGGUCAAAGGUAACAUGCGCCUGGGGCCCACCAGCUUCAGAACCUUCAUCAGGCACUGUAAGCUGAGCAACAGUAACCUCUCCAUGGCGUCUGUGGAUAUCCUCUACACUGGGCCAACAUGCUGCCUGACUCCAGGGAAGCAGAGAAACCCUCCAGCCAAUCAGAACUAGGCAUGGGUCUCCAGGUGUUUGUGGAGGCUGUCUUCUACCCGGCCCAGCGCAGGUUCAAGUCUCUCUGCUGGAGAUGUGUGAGGCUUAGCUGGAGAACCAGGGAGUAGGGGGUCCUGGAGGAUCUCUUCCUGAGAACAGCACCUGGUCCAGCAGGCGCUCUGUGAGCCACCCCAGACCAGGCCCUAUCAGAACCCCAGCUCUGCUCCCCGGCCAACCUGCGCAGGGCCUCCUCCCAGAACUACCAGCUGCAUCAGCGAUUACGACCCCCACACACACAAGGCCAAUGUAGAGAACUGACCUGACUCAGGCCUAAGAAGCUAUACUCCCACACACAGACCUCACAGAGGAGCACACAGACUGGCUCCCUCUCCACUGGAAGUCCUCCAGGGUGUCCUGUCAAGAGCAGACAGACAGAUUGUAGGGAGCUGACCUCAGAGGCUGACUUCCAGGACCUGUUCUGGGCUUGAUUUAUUUUCCUUGUGAAGAGGAGGAGGAGGGGGAGGAAGGUAGUGCAUAAGGUGGUUG
Molecule: long non-coding RNA, 752 nt
Filed under: Oncorhynchus kisutch (coho salmon)
Lineage: Eukaryota; Metazoa; Chordata; Actinopteri; Salmoniformes; Salmonidae
Description: lncRNA (ENSOKIG00005028368.1)
Source: RNAcentral